This 498-nucleotide ribosomal RNA is filed under the name uncultured bacterium. Its description in RNAcentral is "bacterial SSU rRNA". It matches the Rfam family "Bacterial small subunit ribosomal RNA", at positions 28 to 517 of the family's 1533-position model. The record is from RNAcentral.
GAUGAACGCUAGCUACAGGCUUAACACAUGCAAGUCGAGGGGCAGCAUGUCGGUUGCUUGCAACCGAUGAUGGCGACCGGCGCACGGGUGAGUAACGCGUAUCCAACCUACCCUUGUCCAUCGGAUAACCCGUCGAAAGGCGGCCUAACACGAUAUGCGGUUCUCAGCAGGCAUCUAACGAGAACGAAAUGUGAAGGAGAAGGAUGGGGAUGCGUCUGAUUAGCUUGUUGGCGGGGUAACGGCCCACCAAGGCGACGAUCAGUAGGGGUUCUGAGAGGAAGGUCCCCCACAUUGGAACUGAGACACGGUCCAAACUCCUACGGGAGGCAGCAGUGAGGAAUAUUGGUCAAUGGACGGGAGUCUGAACCAGCCAAGUAGCGUGCAGGAUGACGGCCCUAUGGGUUGUAAACUGCUUUUAUAGGGGGAUAAAGUGUGCCACGUGUGGCAUAUUGCAGGUACCCUAUGAAUAAGGACCGGCUAAUUCCGUGCCAGCAGCCG